UCUCUUCUUCACGUACAGUGCGCUCUCUCAAACCAAAACCACUGAACUGAAAAUCCAGCGCCUUGAACCCAAAUAUCUUGCCAAAUCCAAACUCGAUCUCCUCUGAAAACUAAAAAACCUUGAAGAACCUCCCCCUCCAUCCUCCAUCUCUGUUUGACAAACACAGAAAAUCUCAUUUUGCAUCUGAAAGUUUUUUUCAAACCAUACAACCAAUCCAUCCAAACCUCAUAUCAUGAUGCUCGUUUCAUGGGUCUGGGUCUGGGUCUGUAUUCAUUCACUAUGCUGGUAAGCCAUUCGAUUCACUGUUAAGCGAUUUAGGAUUUUUGUUGGAUUGUGGAUUUAGGGUUUUAAUUUGAAAUUUCCUUUGAAAUUUGAUUUGUUUUCGAUGGUUUAUGGUCGAAUUGGGGAUACGGGGUUAUCGAAUAUAAGAAAUUGGUGUUUUCUGUCUCUGAGCUCAACAAGCAAUUUCAGAAGAAGCUGGUGUUUCAGAUCCUGAUUCAGAGAGUCAGGUAUUCAUUAAACGAAUUUUGGCUGCUCCCUAUGAGAAAGAGGUUGAAUUCGAGCUUGUUCUGAUAGACAUGAGAGCUUGUGAACAUAAGAGGGAGUCAUGUGCAAAGACCAAGUGUUGAAUCUUGGAUCUUGUGCUUUUUCUUGAUAUGUGCUGAAGUGGGUAUCAAUGGUGUUUGGUAUCAUCUGCAUCUCAUACGGUGAAUUUGCUCCACAAUAAGAAGCAUGGCACAAACUAUCUUUACAAAAUACAUUAAGGCAAUUGAAUUCGG
RNAcentral lists this long non-coding RNA (779 nucleotides) under Rosa chinensis. RNAcentral's name for it is "sRNA RchiOBHm_Chr4g0405261". Lineage: Eukaryota; Viridiplantae; Streptophyta; Magnoliopsida; Rosales; Rosaceae. The record is from RNAcentral.